AGGAAAUAUGCCUGGAAGUUUAGAGCCUUUGGAUUUAAGUGUUCAGAUACCUUAUCAUUUCAGGUGUCCGAUCUCGCUUGAGCUCAUGCGUGACCCUGUCACCGUUAGUACCGGUCAGACCUACGACCGCUCCAGUAUCGAAUCUUGGGUUGCUACCGGUAACACUACUUGUCCGGUCACUCGGUCUCCUCUCACCGAUUUCACUCUCAUCCCUAACCAUACUCUUCGCCGGUUAAUCCAGGACUGGUGUGUCGCUAACCGUGCUUUUGGUAUUGAACGCAUCCCCACCCCGAAACAGCCGGCGGAGCCCAGUUUGGUUAGGUCUUUGUUGAACCAGGCUGCGUCUGAGUCUAAUCCUUAUCAGUCUCGUCUCUCUGCUCUCCGUCGACUCAGAGGACUCGCUCGUGACUCGGAUAAGAACAGGUCUGUUAUUUCUUCUCAUAACGCACGAGAAAUAUUCGUUAACCUUCUUUUUGAGAACGUUGCGAAUUCUAAUUCGACGGAUUUGAACCACGAGGCUUUGGCACUUCUGGUUAUGUUUCCGCUCACUGAGUCAGAGUGUGUGUGCAUAGCUUCAGACUCGGAGAGAAUGAUCUACUUAGCGAAUCUCUUGUCUAAUUCAUCAAUCGAAGUCCGAGUCAACUCGGCUGCACUCAUUGAAAUCGUGGUUGCCGGAACAAAAUCCUCAGAUCUUCGCGCUCAAAUCAGCAACGUAGACGAAAUCUUCGAAGGAGUAAUUGAAAUGCUAAAGAACCCUAUCUCUUAUCCUCGUGCUCUCAAGAUUGGCAUAAAAGCACUAUUCGCCUUGUGCCUCGCGAAGCAGACCAGGCAUAGAGCUGUAGCUGCCGGAGCGGCGAACGUUCUAAUCGAUAGACUGGCCGAUUUCGACAAAUGCGACGCGGAGAGAGCGUUAGCCACCAUAGAGCUGCUGUGCAGAGUGCCAGCUGGGUGCGAGGCGUUUGCGGGGCACGCGCUGACGGUGCCGUUGCUAGUGAAGACGAUAUUGAAAAUAUCUGACAGGGCAACAGAGUACGCAGCGGGAACGUUGCUAGCUCUGUGCACGGCGUCGGAGCAGAGCCAAAGGGAGGCGGUGAGCGCUGGGAUAUUAACACAGCUGUUGUUACUGGUACAGAGUGACUGUACGGAUAGGGCAAAGAGGAAGGCGCAGAUGUUGCUAAAAUUGCUUCGGGACUCGUGGCCUGAGGAAUCCUCGGGGAAUUCCGAUGAUUUUGUUUGCAGUGAGGUCGUACCAUUUUGAUGGGUAGAUCAUCCUUGUUGAUGCUCUCUUCUUUUCUUUUUCUUUUUUCUUUUUAAUUUUUCUAAUUUUUAGUUUUUUAAAAAAAGUAGAAAAAUGGAAAUUGAGUUCUAGAUCGGUACAUAGGGAGAGGGACAGAUUGUAAUUCUGUAUGUAAUUUUUUAUGUAAGAAUUUUUGCGAAGAAAGAUUUUAAGGAAACUUGAAAAGCAAACGAAAAGUUAGUUAUGUUGUUAAAA
Molecule: unclassified non-coding RNA, 1492 nt
Filed under: Hevea brasiliensis (rubber tree)
Lineage: Eukaryota; Viridiplantae; Streptophyta; Magnoliopsida; Malpighiales; Euphorbiaceae
Source: RNAcentral